Molecule: transfer RNA, 72 nt
Filed under: Camelus bactrianus (Bactrian camel)
Lineage: Eukaryota; Metazoa; Chordata; Mammalia; Artiodactyla; Camelidae
Also listed under: 1 other name
Rfam family: tRNA
About the family: Transfer RNA (tRNA) molecules are approximately 80 nucleotides in length. Their secondary structure includes four short double-helical elements and three loops (D, anti-codon, and T loops). Further hydrogen bonds mediate the characteristic L-shaped molecular structure. tRNAs have two regions of fundamental functional importance: the anti-codon, which is responsible for specific mRNA codon recognition, and the 3' end, to which the tRNAs corresponding amino acid is attached (by aminoacyl-tRNA synthetases). tRNAs cope with the degeneracy of the genetic code in two manners: having more than one tRNA (with a specific anti-codon) for a particular amino acid; and 'wobble' base-pairing, i.e. permitting non-standard base-pairing at the 3rd anti-codon position.
Source: Rfam by way of RNAcentral
GAGGGUAUAGCUCAGUGGUAGAGUGCCUGCUUAGCGUGCAUGAUGUCUUAGUUUUAAUCCCCAGUACCUCCA